AUUGAACGCUGGCGGCAGGCCUAACACAUGCAAGUCGAGCGGAUGAAGGGAGCUUGCUCCUGGAUUCAGCGGCGGACGGGUGAGUAAUGCCUAGGAAUCUGCCUGGUAGUGGGGGAUAACGUCCGGACACGGGCGCUAAUACCGCAUACGUCCUGAGGGAGAAAGUGGGGGAUCUUCGGACCUCACGCUAUCAGAUGAGCCUAGGUCGGAUUAGCUAGUUGGUGGGGUAAAGGCCUACCAAGGCGACGAUCCGUAACUGGUCUGAGAGGAUGAUCAGUCACACUGGAACUGAGACACGGUCCAGACUCCUACGGGAGGCAGCAGUGGGGAAUAUUGGACAAUGGGCGAAAGCCUGAUCCAGCCAUGCCGCGUGUGUGAAGAAGGUCUUCGGAUUGUAAAGCACUUUAAGUUGGGAAGAAAAGCAGUAAGUUAAUACCUUGCUGUUUUGACGUUACCAACAGAAUAAGCACCGGCUAACUUCGUG
This 484-nucleotide ribosomal RNA is filed under the name uncultured bacterium. Its description in RNAcentral is "partial 16S ribosomal RNA". It matches the Rfam family "Bacterial small subunit ribosomal RNA", at positions 30 to 507 of the family's 1533-position model. The record is from RNAcentral.